Molecule: transfer RNA, 71 nt
Filed under: Ovis aries (sheep)
Lineage: Eukaryota; Metazoa; Chordata; Mammalia; Artiodactyla; Bovidae
Rfam family: tRNA
About the family: Transfer RNA (tRNA) molecules are approximately 80 nucleotides in length. Their secondary structure includes four short double-helical elements and three loops (D, anti-codon, and T loops).
Source: Rfam by way of RNAcentral
UCUUGGUGGCUCAGACGGUAAAGCGUCUGUCUACAAUGCAGGAGACCCAGGUUUGAGCCCUGGAUUGGGAA